GAUGAAGAACGUAGCGAAAUGCGAUAAGUAAUGUGAAUUGCAGAACUCAGUGAAUCAUCGAAUCUUUGAACGCACAUUGCGCCCCCUGGCAUUCCGGGGGGCAUGCCUGUUCGAGCGUCAUUACAACCCUCAAGCUCUGCUUGGUAUUGGGCUCUGCUGGGACCGGCAGGCCUUAAAAUCAGUGGCGGCGCCACUCGGCUUCAAGCGUAGUAAUUCUUCUCGCUUCGGAGACCCGGGUGCGUGCUAGCCAGCAACCCCCAACUUUCUUAGGUUGACCUCGGAUCAGGUAGGGAUACCCGCUGAACUUAAGCAUAUCAAUAAGAGGAGGA
RNAcentral lists this unclassified non-coding RNA (329 nucleotides) under soil metagenome. RNAcentral's name for it is "partial contains 5.8S ribosomal RNA, internal transcribed spacer 2, and large subunit ribosomal RNA". The stretch from base 1 to 120 matches the Rfam family "5.8S ribosomal RNA", at positions 35 to 154 of the family's 154-position model. The record is from RNAcentral.